CCUACGGGAGGCAGCAGUGGGGAAUAUUGCACAAUGGGGGAAACCCUGAUGCAGCGACGCCGCGUGAGUGAAGAAGUAAUUCGUUAUGUAAAGCUCUAUCAGCAGGGAAGAAAAUGGCGGUACCUGAGUAAGAAGCCCCGGCUAACUACGUGCCAGCAGCCGCGGUAAUACGUAGGGGGCAAGCGUUAUCCGGAUUUACUGGGUGGAAAGGGAGCGUAGACGGCAGUGCAAGUCUGGAGUGAAAGGCGGGGGCUCAACCCCCGGACUGCUCUGGAAACUGUACGGCUGGAGUGCAGGAGAGGUAAGUGGAAUUCCUAGUGUAGCGGUGAAAUGCGUAGAUAUUAGGAGGAACACCAGUGGCGAAGGCGGCUUACUGGACUGUAACUGACGUUGAGGCUCGAAAGCGUGGGGAGCAAACAGGAUUAGAUACCACUGUAGUC
Molecule: ribosomal RNA, 440 nt
Filed under: uncultured bacterium
Lineage: Bacteria
Description: partial 16S ribosomal RNA
Rfam family: Bacterial small subunit ribosomal RNA
Source: RNAcentral